GAUGAAGAACGUAGCGAAAUGCGAUAAGCAAUGUGAAUUGCAGAAUUCAGUGAAUCAUCGAGUCUUUGAACGCACAUUGCGCCCCCUGGUAUUCCGGGGGGCAUGCCUGUCCGAGCGUCAUUGCUGCCCUCAAGCACGGCUUGUGUGUUGGGCCGCCGUCCCCGGUUUCCCCCGGGGACGGGCCCGAAAGGCAGCGGCGGCACCGCGUCCGAUCCUCGAGCGUAUGGGGCUUUGUCACCCGCUCUGUAGGCCCGGCCGGCGCCAGCCGACACCCAACUUUAUUUCUAAGGUUGACCUCGGAUCAGGUAGGGAUACCCGCUGAACUUAAGCAUAUCAAUAAGCGGAGGA
RNAcentral lists this unclassified non-coding RNA (348 nucleotides) under soil metagenome. RNAcentral describes it as "partial contains 5.8S ribosomal RNA, internal transcribed spacer 2, and large subunit ribosomal RNA". The stretch from base 1 to 120 matches the Rfam family "5.8S ribosomal RNA", at positions 35 to 154 of the family's 154-position model. The record is from RNAcentral.